Molecule: non-coding RNA, 73 nt
Organism: Carcharodon carcharias (great white shark)
Lineage: Eukaryota; Metazoa; Chordata; Chondrichthyes; Lamniformes; Lamnidae
Source: the annotation of a RefSeq genome assembly
GUUCGGAUAGCUCAGUCGGUAGAGCAUCGAAUUUUUAAUCUGAGGGUCCAGGGGUCAAGUCCCUGUUUGAGCU